UGGCACGGUCGCGACUGGCGUUCGGAUGGGUCACCAUCGGGGAGCGACGAACGAGUGAACGGCUGCCGUACGCCUGGGCCGCCCCC
Molecule: non-coding RNA, 86 nt
Filed under: Micrococcales bacterium
Lineage: Bacteria; Bacillati; Actinomycetota; Actinomycetes; Micrococcales
Description: ZTP sequence
Rfam family: ZMP/ZTP riboswitch aptamer (pfl RNA motif)
About the family: Previously known as pfl RNA. ZMP is also known as AICAR.
Source: RNAcentral